GCUUGUCUCAAAGAUUAAGCCAUGCAUGUCUAAGUAUAAACUGCUUAUACUGUGAAACUGCGAAUGGCUCAUUAAAUCAGUUAUAGUUUAUUUGAUGGUACCUACUACUCGGAUAACCGUAGUAAUUCUAGAGCUAAUACGUGCGCACAACCCGACUUCUGGAAGGGUCGUAUUUAUUAGAUAAAAGGCCAGCCGGGCUUUGCCCGACCUGCGGUGAAUCAUGAUAACUUCACGAAUCGUAUGGCCUUGUGCCGACGAUGUUUCAUUCAAAUUUCUUCCCUAUCAACUUUCGAUGUUUGGGUAUUGGCCAAACAUGGUUGCAACGGGUAACGGAGGGUUAGGGCUCGACCCCGGAGAAGGAGCCUGAGAAACGGCUACUACAUCCAAGGAAGGCAGCAGG
RNAcentral lists this ribosomal RNA (400 nucleotides) under Chlamydomonas reinhardtii. Its description in RNAcentral is "partial small subunit ribosomal RNA". It matches the Rfam family "Eukaryotic small subunit ribosomal RNA", at positions 30 to 432 of the family's 1831-position model. The record is from RNAcentral. Lineage: Eukaryota; Viridiplantae; Chlorophyta; Chlorophyceae; Chlamydomonadales; Chlamydomonadaceae.